RNAcentral lists this ribosomal RNA (253 nucleotides) under uncultured bacterium. Its description in RNAcentral is "partial 16S ribosomal RNA". It matches the Rfam family "Bacterial small subunit ribosomal RNA", at positions 524 to 776 of the family's 1533-position model. The record is from RNAcentral.
UACGUAGGGACCAAGCGUUGUUCGGAUUUACUGGGCGUAAAGGGCGCGUAGGCGGCCUGCUAAGUCGGAUGUGAAAUCCCUCGGCUCAACCGAGGAACUGCAUCCGAUACUGGCGGGCUUGAAUCCGGGAGAGGGAUGUGGAAUUCCAGGUGUAGCGGUGAAAUGCGUAGAUAUCUGGAGGAACACCGGUGGCGAAGGCGGCAUCCUGGACCGGUAUUGACGCUGAGGCGCGAAAGCUAGGGGAGCAAACGGG